Molecule: long non-coding RNA, 262 nt
Organism: Thalassophryne amazonica
Lineage: Eukaryota; Metazoa; Chordata; Actinopteri; Batrachoidiformes; Batrachoididae
Exons: 3
Source: RefSeq, a predicted model, not a curated record
UUACAAACCAUCAAAGUCAGUGAGGCACUCGAACUCGUUGGAAUGGAUCUCAUAGGUCCCCUGCCUACUACAGACACAUUGUACAAGUAUGUGCUCACCUUCACAGAUUAUUACACCAAGUUUGUGGACUUUUUCCCCCUGAAGAACAAGUCAGCCGAGGGUGUAGCUGCGUGUCUGAAGACAUUUGUUUGCAGAUGGGGUGCUCCACAGAGAUUACUGUCUGACCAGGGUCGUGAGUUCGUAUCCCAGAUAAACAACGAGG